This 1791-nucleotide ribosomal RNA is filed under the name Durio zibethinus. RNAcentral describes it as "SSU rRNA". It matches the Rfam family "Eukaryotic small subunit ribosomal RNA". Lineage: Eukaryota; Viridiplantae; Streptophyta; Magnoliopsida; Malvales; Malvaceae. The record is from RNAcentral.
CCUGGUUGAUGAUGCUUGUAGUCAUAUGCUUGAAUCAAAGAUUAAGCCAUACAUGUGUAAGUAUGAACUAAUUUAGACUGUGAAACUGCAAAUGGCUCAUUAAAUCAAUAUAGUUUGUUUAAUGGUAUCCACUACUCAGAUAAUCAUAGUAAUUCUAGAGUUAAUACAUGCAACAAAUCCCAACUUCUAGAAGGGAUGCAUUUAUUAAAUAAAAGGAUGACAAAAGCUUUGCUUGUUGCUCUGAUGUUUCAUGAUAACUCGAUAGAUCACACAACUUUGUGCCGGUGAUGCAUCAUUCAAAAUUAUGCCAUAUCAACAUUUGAUGGUAGGAUAGUGGCCUACUAUGGUGGUGAUGGUGAUGGAGAAUUAGGAUUUGAAUAUGGAGAAGGAGCCUAAGAAAUGACUACCACAUCCAAGGAAGUCAAAUAGGGGUGCAAAUUACGCAAUCCUGACAUGGGGAGGUAGUGUAGUAAAUAACAUUAUCAGGCUCUAUAAGUUUAGUAAUUAGAAUGGGUACAAUCUAAAUCACUUAACGAGGAUCUAUUGGAAGGUAAGUUUGGUGCAAGCAGCUAUGGUAAUUAUAGCUCCAAUAACUUAUACUUAAGUUGUUGCAGUUAAAAAACUCAUAAUUGGAACUAGGGUUAGGUCGUCUGGUUUGCCUCAUGGUGAGCCCCAAUCUAUUCAUCCCUACUGCCGAUGAUGCAUUCUUGGCCUUAACUGGCUGGGUGAUUCUUCUGUCACUGUUACUUUGAAGAAAUUAGAGUGCUUAAAGCAGGCAUCCUUUUGUAUACAUUAGUAUAGGAUAACAUCAUAGGCUUUCAAUCCUAUUGUGUUGGCCUUCAUGAUUUAAGUAAUAAUUAAUAGGGACAAUUAGGGGCAUUCGUAUUUCAUAGUCAGAGGUGAAAUUAUUGGAUAUAUGAAAGAUGAACAACUAUGAAAGCAUUUGCUAAAGAUGUUUUCAUUAAUCAAGAAUAAAAAUUAAGGGCUCAAAGAUGAUUAGAUACCGUCCCAGUCUCAACCAUAAACGAUGUCGACCAGGGAUUGAUGGAUGUUGCUUUUCGGACUUUGUUGGCACUUUAUGAGAAAUCAAAGCCUUUGGGUUUUGAAGGGAGUAUGGUCGCAAGGUUGAAACUUAAAGGAAUUGAUGGAAGGGCACCACUAGGAAUGGAGCCUGUGGCUUAAUUUGACUCAAUGGGGAAACUUACCACAUCCAUACAUAGUAAAGAUUGACAAACUGAUAGCUCUUUCUUGAUUCUAUGGGUGGCAGUGCAUGGCAAUUCUCAGAUGGUAGAGCGAUUUGUCUAGUUAAUUCCAUUAACAAAUGAGACCUCAGCCUGCUAAGUAGCUAUGUAAAGGUGAUCCUUUAUGGCUAGCUUCUUAGAGAACUAUGGCUGCGUAGGCCAAGAAAGUUAGAGGUAAUAACAGGUUUAUGAUACCUUUAGAUGUUUUGGGCCACAUGCAUGCUGCAUUGAUGUAUUCAAUGAGUUUAUAGCCUUGGUUGAUGGCCUAGGUAAUAUUUGAAAUUUCAUUGUAAUAGAGAUAGAUCAUUACAAUUAUUGGUCUUCAAUAAGGAAUUCCUAGUAAGUGUGAGUCAUCAAAUUGCAUUGAAUACAUCCCUACCUUUUGUAUGCACCACCCAUAUCUGCUACUUAUUGAAUGAUCUGAUUAAGUGUUUGGAUCAUGGCAAUGAGGAUGGUUCACUGCCCAUGAUGUUGUGAGAAGUCCACUAAACCUUAUCAUUUAGAGGAAGGAGAAGUCAUAAAAAGGUUCUUAUAGGUGAACUUGUGGAAG